UAUUGCACAAUGGGCGCAAGCCUGAUGCAGCCAUGCCGCGUGUAUGAAGAAGGCCUUCGGGUUGUAAACCUCUUUCAGCAGGGGAGAAGCGAAAGUGACGGUACCUGCAGAAGAAGCGCCGGCUAACUACGUGCCAGCAGCCGCGGUAAUACGUAGGGCGCGAGCGUUGUCCGGAAUUAUUGGGCGUAAAGAGCUUGUAGGCGGUUUGUCGCGUCUGCUGUGAAAGCCCGGGGCUUAACCCCGGGUUUGCAGUGGGUACGGGCAGACUAGAGUGCAGUAGGGGAGACUGGAAUUCCUGGUGUAGCGGUGAAAUGCGCAGAUAUCAGGAGGAACACCAAUGGCGAAGGCAGGUCUCUGGGCUGUAACUGACGCUGAGAAGCGAAAGCAUGGGGAGCAAACAGG
Molecule: ribosomal RNA, 402 nt
Filed under: uncultured bacterium
Lineage: Bacteria
Description: bacterial SSU rRNA
Rfam family: Bacterial small subunit ribosomal RNA
Source: RNAcentral